AGAGUUUGAUCCUGGCUCAGGACGAACGCUGGCGGCAUGCCUAACACAUGCAAGUCGAACGGAGGUGGAAACACCUUAGUGGCGAACGGGUGAGUAACGCGUGAGUAACCUGCCUUAUACACAGGGAUACCAGUUAGAAAUGACUGCUAAUACCGGAUAAGACCACAGUCCGGCAUCGGACAGGGGUCAAAGUGAAUUAGCGGUAUAAGAUGGGCUCGCGUCCAAUUAGCUAGUUGGUGGGGUAACGGCCCACCAAGGCAACGAUUGGUAGCCGACCUGAGAGGGUGAUCGGCCACAUUGGAACUGAGACACGGUCCAAACUCCUACGGGAGGCAGCAGUGGGGAAUAUUGCUCAAUGGGGGAAACCCUGAAGCAGCAACGCCGCGUGGAGGAUGACACUUUUCGGAGCGUAAACUCCUUUUGUUAGGGAAGAACACUGACGGUACCUAACGAAUAAGCACCGGCUAACUCCGUGCCAGCAGCCGCGGUAAUACGGAGGGUGCAAGCGUUACUCGGAAUCACUGGGCGUAAAGGACGCGUAGGCGGAUUAUCAAGUCUCUUGUGAAAUCUAACGGCUUAACCGUUAAACUGCUUGGGAAACUGGUAAUCUAGAGUAAGGGAGAGGUAGAUGGAAUUCUUGGUGUAGGGGUAAAAUCCGUAGAGAUCAAGAAGAAUACCCAUUGCGAAGGCGAUCUACUGGAACUUAACUGACGCUAAUGCGUGAAAGCGUGGGGAGCAAACAGGAUUAGAUACCCUGGUAGUCCACGCCCUAAACGAUGUAUACUGGUUGUUGCUAUGCUAGUCAUGGCAGUAAUCCACCUAACGGAUUAAGUAUACCGCCUGGGGAGUACGGUCGCAAGAUUAAAACUCAAAGGAAUAGACGGGGACCCGCACAAGCGGUGGAGCAUGUGGUUUAAUUCGAAGAUACGCGAAGAACCUUACCUAGGCUUGAUAUCCAACAAAUCUCUUAGAGAUAAGAGAGUGCUAGCUUGCUAGAAUGUUGAGACAGGUGCUGCACGGCUGUCGUCAGCUCGUGUCGUGAGAUGUUGGGUUAAGUCCCGCAACGAGCGCAACCCACGUAUUUAGUUGCUAACGGUUCGGCCGAGCACUCUAAAUAGACUGCCUUCGUAAGGAGGAGGAAGGUGUGGACGACGUCAAGUCAUCAUGGCCCUUAUGCCUAGGGCGACACACGUGCUACAAUGGCAUAUACAAUGAGACGCAAUAUCGCGAGAUGGAGCAAAUCUAUAAAAUAUGUCCCAGUUCGGAUUGUUCUCUGCAACUCGAGAGCAUGAAGCCGGAAUCGCUAGUAAUCGUAGAUCAGCCAUGCUACGGUGAAUACGUUCCCGGGUCUUGUACUCACCGCCCGUCACACCAUGGGAGUUGAUUUCACUCGAAGCCGGAAUGCUAAACUAGCUACCGUCCACAGUGGAAUCAGCGACUGGGGUGAAGUCGUAACAAGGUAACCGUA
RNAcentral lists this ribosomal RNA (1468 nucleotides) under uncultured rumen bacterium. RNAcentral's name for it is "bacterial SSU rRNA". It matches the Rfam family "Bacterial small subunit ribosomal RNA". The record is from RNAcentral.